UUCACCUGCCAUGUGAGAAUGUGGAAUUGAGUGACAUUGAUCUCAAGUACACUGGAGACAAAGGUCCUAUUACCUCUGUGUGUUCUAAUGUCAAGCCGACAAUUAAUCGAGUGGCACAGCCUCUUGCUUGCUCUACCGGCGCUACUGCUGCUUGAUCUAACAAGCACAAACCAUGUUGCUGAUGUUUCUUCAGAGAUACAUUGGUUGUGUGCUCUUCGAUUUUGUGUUGAUUGUACUUGGUGUUUUCAUCUAAGAGGUGGAAAAUAUCUCAGUACAU
This 277-nucleotide long non-coding RNA is filed under the name Prunus dulcis (almond). Its description in RNAcentral is "sRNA ncRNA". The record is from RNAcentral. Lineage: Eukaryota; Viridiplantae; Streptophyta; Magnoliopsida; Rosales; Rosaceae.